UUAAAUUGAAGAGUUUGAUCAUGGCUCAGAUUGAACGCUGGCGGCAGGCCUAACACAUGCAAGUCGAACGGUAACAGGAAGCAGCUUGCUGUUUUGCUGACGAGUGGCGGACGGGUGAGUAAUGUCUGGGAAACUGCCUGAUGGAGGGGGAUAACUACUGGAAACGGUAGCUAAUACCGCAUAACGUCGCAAGACCAAAGAGGGGGACCUUAGGGCCUCUUGCCAUCGGAUGUGCCCAGAUGGGAUUAGCUAGUAGGUGGGGUAACGGCUCACCUAGGCGACGAUCCCUAGCUGGUCUGAGAGGAUGACCAGCCACACUGGAACUGAGACACGGUCCAGACUCCUACGGGAGGCAGCAGUGGGGAAUAUUGCACAAUGGG
Molecule: ribosomal RNA, 380 nt
Filed under: Escherichia coli
Lineage: Bacteria; Pseudomonadati; Pseudomonadota; Gammaproteobacteria; Enterobacterales; Enterobacteriaceae
Description: bacterial SSU rRNA
Rfam family: Bacterial small subunit ribosomal RNA
Source: RNAcentral